Molecule: non-coding RNA, 67 nt
Organism: Megalops atlanticus (tarpon)
Lineage: Eukaryota; Metazoa; Chordata; Actinopteri; Elopiformes; Megalopidae
Source: the annotation of a GenBank genome assembly
UGUUGCAUAGUGGUAAGGAGCAGGGCUUGCAACCGAAAGGUUGCUGGUUCGAUUCCCGGUGCAACAC